This 485-nucleotide ribosomal RNA is filed under the name uncultured bacterium. Its description in RNAcentral is "bacterial SSU rRNA". It matches the Rfam family "Bacterial small subunit ribosomal RNA", at positions 28 to 507 of the family's 1533-position model. The record is from RNAcentral.
GAUGAACGCUAGCGGCAGGCCUAACACAUGCAAGUCGAGGGGCAGCACGGAUUGCUUGCAAUCUGGUGGCGACCGGCGCACGGGUGCGUAACGCGUAUACAACCUACCUUUUGGAGGGGAAUAGCCCAGAGAAAUUUGGAUUAAUACCCCAUAGUAUAUAGGAAUCUCCUGAUUUUUAUAUUAAACAUUUAUGGCCAUUAGAUGGGUAUGCGUCCUAUUAGCUAGUUGGUGUGGUAACGGCUUACCAAGGCAGCGAUAGGUAGGGGUCCUGAGAGGGAGAUCCCCACACUGGUACUGAGACACGGACCAGACUCCUACGGGAGGCAGCAGUGAGGAAUAUUGGACAAUGGGCGAGAGCCUGAUCCAGCCAUGCCGCGUGCAGGAAGACUGCCCUAUGGGUUGUAAACUGCUUUUACAGAGGAAGAACCACCCCCACGUGUGGGGGUUUGACGGUACUCUGCGAAUAAGGAUCGGCUAACUCCGUG